This 73-nucleotide transfer RNA is filed under the name Candidatus Woesebacteria bacterium. RNAcentral describes it as "tRNA-Pro". It matches the Rfam family "tRNA". Rfam says of the family: Transfer RNA (tRNA) molecules are approximately 80 nucleotides in length. Their secondary structure includes four short double-helical elements and three loops (D, anti-codon, and T loops). Lineage: Bacteria; Candidatus Woeseibacteriota. The record is from RNAcentral.
CGGAGAGUAGCGCAGAUGGUAGCGCGCGUCGUUCGGGACGACGAGGUCGCAGGUUCGAGUCCUGUCUCUCCGA